Molecule: long non-coding RNA, 942 nt
Organism: Dreissena polymorpha
Lineage: Eukaryota; Metazoa; Mollusca; Bivalvia; Myida; Dreissenidae
Exons: 3
Source: RefSeq, a predicted model, not a curated record
UCAUGACCAACAGAUGACCCCUAUUGAUUUUCAGGACUCUAGGUCAAAGUUCAAGGUCACAGUGACCUGAAGCAGUAAAAUGGUUUCUGAAUGAUAACUCAAGAACGCUUAGGCCUGGUAUCAGGAAAGUUCAUAGGGACAUUGGUCAUGACAGGCAGAUGACCCCUAUUGAUUUUCCGGUCACUAGGUCAAAGUUCAAGAUCACAGUGACUCGAAGCAGUCAAAUGGUCUCUGGAUGAUAACUCAAGAACGCUUAAGCCUGGGAUCAGGAAAGUUCAUAGGGACAUUGGUAAUGACUGACAGAUGACCCCUAUUCAUUUUCAGGUCACUAGGUCAAAGUUAAAGGUCACAGUGACUCAAAUCAGUAAAAUGGUUUCCAGAUAAUAACUCAAGAAUACUUAAGCUUGGGAUCAGGAAAGAUCAUAGUGACAUUGGUCAUGACCGGCAGAUGACCCUUAUUGACUUUUAGGUCACUAGGUCAAAGUUCAAGUUCACAGUGACUCGAAACAGUAAAAUGGUUUCCGGAUGAUAACUCAAGAACGCUUAAGCCUGGGAUCAGGAAAGUUCAUAGGGACAUUGAUCAUGACUGACAGAUGACCCCUAUUGAUUUUCAGUACUCUAGGUCAAAGACUCUCAUCAGCAACUCCAUGAGUCAAGCGAGCAAUUCUUCUUUAAAUUGUCAAUCAUACUCUGACGUAUUCACACAAUGGCUGCCACCACAACUGACAGCCCAUUUGGGGGGCAUGCUUGUUUUACAAACAGCCCUUGUUUAGACUUAGUGUUUAGAUGUAGUUGUUGAGCAAGUAGCUCACAGGAAGAUAAUUUUAGAUUGUAAUGUAAUAUCCACUCUGACAGCAACUAUGCUUAUGAAAUCGCAUUUCUGAUUAACAUAUUUUAUUCAAGGUGACAUUCAUUGUGAAGACAGUAUAACUUUUUGGCAGA